AUUGAACGCUGGCGGCGUGCCUAACACAUGCAAGUCGAGCGGUAACAGGUGUAGCAAUACAUGCUGACGAGCGGCGGACGGGUGAGUAACGCUUGGGAAUCUGCCUGUUAGUGGGGGACAACCCGGGGAAACUCGGGCUAAUACCGCAUACGCACUACGGUGGAAAGCCGGGGACCCGCAAGGCCUGGCGCUAACAGAUGAGCCCAAGUCGGAUUAGCUAGUUGGUAGGGUAACGGCCUACCAAGGCGACGAUCCGUAACUGGUCUGAGAGGACGACCAGUCACACCGGAACUGAGACACGGUCCGGACUCCUACGGGAGGCAGCAGUGGGGAAUACUGGACAAUGGGCGAAAGCCUGA
This 359-nucleotide ribosomal RNA is filed under the name uncultured bacterium. RNAcentral describes it as "bacterial SSU rRNA". It matches the Rfam family "Bacterial small subunit ribosomal RNA", at positions 29 to 386 of the family's 1533-position model. The record is from RNAcentral.